AAAUAUUAAAGCACGAAAUAAGCAUGCAUAAUUGAGAACAAGAAUCAAGUAUUUAUCAUGUAAUUCAGAAAUCAAAUAAUAAAAUUCAUCAUAAGUUUCAUUUUCCCUAGGUAUCUAGAGAAUUUAGUUCAUAAUCUGAAAAAAAAACAUCUCAAAGUCAGAAAAACUACAAGACAUAAAGAAAUUCAAAUAAAUUUCGAAAAAAGUUAAAAUGAGAUAUUCAAUUUUGAAGGAGAUCUGCUUCUGAGUUGGCUCUGAUAGUGUACUUCGAGUAAUUUCUUCAAUCUUCUCUACAUGCUCCAUUAGGUCUUCUUUUUAUUGUUAUUUAUAGACUUUAGAAUGCUCAGAAAGCCUAAAAAUUGGGUUUUUCCACAUGUUAAGGAAGCAGGUUGCGAAAUUGACACGGGCUGGCACAUGAGCGUGUGGCCAGCCCGUGUGGAAAUGCUGAAAACAGCUCUGUAAUGGGCCUAAUAUGCUUGGGCCCAAUAACAAAAAAUCAAACCCAGAUACCCAUUUACAAUGGGGCCCAAUGGCCCAAAACCUAAACCUAAGUUUAGCCAAAUAGCCAAACCCUAGUAGUAAGGAGUGUCGCAGCCCUAACCUCCAGCGCCGUUCAAGCCUCCAGCACCUCUGUACGCCGUGCACCUCCACGCGCCACGCACACUUGCAAAUAGACAAGAAAACAAUAGCAAAUAGAAACAAAAAACAACGGAAUAGCAAAAAAAGAGGGCUUGUAUUUUCAUUUUUGAUUAUUGUUAGACUAUAAAGCCAAAAAACUUUUUCAUUGUAAAACUGCGAACGCACACUAUAAUACAUAUACUAAAUAGUAGAAAGAAAUCAAAAGAGUGAUCUAAAGGUGAUUUCAAAUUUUUCCCUCUUUUCUGUUGAUUUGCUUGCAUUAUUUUAACAUAGAAGAUGAAAAAGGAUGCUUGAAACAACACCGAUGAAAGCCCUCACGUCUCAGGAAUAUGGUGAUUCGGGCUAGGGUUGUUUUCUCUUCUUUUUCGUCGGAUCUUGCCUUGUUUUUGACAGAAUAGUACAGGAUUUUAAAGUUUUUUUUUUAAAAAAAAAAAGGGGAAAGGAGUACUCUUACCGGAUCUUCGUGGGUGAGGCUUUCUUCAGCAAGAUCCGAUCUCCAUUCGUGCACCGUCAGCCAUCAAAUUGAUGGUGGUUUGGGUGGCUACUUAAUGAACCCAAAGAGAAUGAAAGGUUCUGUUUCUUUUUUAAAAUUAAAAGGUUAUUUGUGCUUUGAAAGGAAGAUAAAUGGGAAUAAGGAUUUUAGCAUUAAAAUAAGUCUGCGCCUUUUCAUUAGAAGUGGGAAAUUUGCGCGUUAAAUCCUUCCUUUUGCGUGAUUAUUCAAUUGCGCCUUCUUUGUUUUGCCCUUUUUUUAAUUUGGCUCUUUAAUUUGUGUGCAUUUCCAUUUUAGUCCGCGAUACAGUGCUACGUUUUGGGCUCGGGAUAUUUGCAAUUCUAAUCCCCACACAUUCAUGCGCCUUGUACAUUGAUCUUAUUUAUGAUUAUUUGUAAAUUAUCCCUGUUAUUUUGGGUUCAAUUUUAAUUUGGUCUUUCAUUUGUAUAGUUUGCUAAUUUAAAAUGCAUUUAAUAUUUUUAUAUGUAUUAAUCUAUGUUACUAAUUUUGUUUGCUUACAUUUGUAUAAUUAUUUUGAGAUUUUUUUUUAUCUUAUUAUUUUUACAUUGUGCAUCCCAUUUUUUUAAAUAUUUUAUACAUAUUUGUAUAUACAUCAUUCUUAUUAAAUUCUUAAUCUAUAAUAACCAUUAUUUUGAAGUUAACAACAUUCUUAUUUAUUUUUGACAAGAUCAUCAUUUUAAAAUUCUUUUUACAUUAAAUUAUUUUAAUACCUCAUUAUAAACUUUUGCUUAAAUAUUUUUAUAUAUUGAUACAUAAAUUAUUUUAAUAGAGUUUUCUAUUUAAAAUAUUUCUUGAUUUCAUGAUUUACUUAAUGUUUUUAUGUAUAUAUGACACUAUUUUGGGAACUUCAUUUUUAUGUUUAUAAAAUUAUUAUUUUUAAAUGUUUCUCUUUAUUAUAUUAUCUUAGUAUCUUAUUUAGUAUUUCUUUUAAAAGUUUUUAAGUAUAAUGGUACUUAUAUAAUUUAUAAGCUAACUUAAUUUUGUAUGCAUCAUUCAUUUCAUGCCAUUUUUUUCACAAGUAAUUAUUCUUAAAUAUAUAUAUAUAUAUAUUUUGUACGUAUAUCUUAUCAUGUACUCUACCAUUCUUUCAUAUUUUUAAGUUAUUGUAUAUUGUCGUUUUUUAAAUGAAUUUGUGUUGAAAAUGUUUCGCAUACUAUUUGAUUCAUAUAAUUUAUUCUAUAAUAUUUAUUCCAAUGAUUAUAUAUAUAGCCUUAGUUUUUUUUUACCUAAAUUAUUUCAAAUUUAUCAAUUCACCCACUCAUAUAUCAUAUAUAUUAUGUGUUCAUUCGUCUAUUUUGAAAUUGUCUUAUACCACAUUGACUUCUAAAUUUCAUUUUGUCUUGUAUAUGAUCUGUUGAUUGAUUUAUAUUGUGCCAUAUUUAUUGUUGUUGUAUUUUAUUUAUUCGUUGUUUUAUUUGUUAUAUUAAUUGUUUUCCAUCCAUGCUAAAAAAUUUGAUCACAUUUUUUGUAGAAUAGUCGUACUUAAUCGUUGGAGUUAUCAAUUGUGGUUUAUUGUACUUUAGGUGUGCAUAUUAUCGCAUUUUUAUUCUUUUUUAAUGUUUCUUUGAAAUACACUAAUUAUUCUAUUCUAUUUCAAGUAAAAUUAAUACGUUUUAAGCUAGUUUUAUAACUAUUCGUUUAAAAAUUCUUUAAAACGAAGGUAAUGUUCGAUGUUUGGCAAUUUGGGGAAUCGUGCCCUAUCGUGCUGGGUUGCGAUUUCCUAUUUGUUUAAAAUAAUAGAAUAUCCCUUUAGAAUUUCACUCAUGUUCUCUAAAUUCUAAAAUAAGGCAAUGUUCGAUGUCUAGAAUUUCGAGGAAUCAUACCCUACUGUGCUGGGUUUCGGUUUUUUUCGUUCGACUAAAUAAUUGGGCAUCCUUUUGUGAUUUUCGACAUAUAAAUUUUUGGAAGUCGAAAUUUAUCGUGUUUUAGAGGAUACAAAGGAUCGUGUCGUAUCGUACUGGAUGUGAUGCUGUAUUCCUCUGAAACAAGGGAAUUUUGACAACCAACUCGGGCUAUUCAAAUAAAAAGAACCACCUUUCAAAAACUCUUUUAAAUCUCAGACAUAAGGACAAUAUUUAAUCAUUUUGGUACCAAUUUUGGGCGUAAUGAGGGUGCUAAUCCUUCCUCAUGCGUAACCGACUCCCGAACCCGUUUUCUCAAAAUUCGUAGACCAAAAUCAUUGUUUUAGUAAAUCAAAACGUUUUAUUAAAAUGACCAAACUCCUUGGUGAUCCAAUCACACCUAAGCAAAAGAUUGGUGGCGACUCCAUUUUCAUUUUAAAAGUCGAUUGUCUGUUUUUGUUUUCAAAAUUUAAAGAUGGUUUCGACAAGCUCUUUUUGCUCGAUUUUGGCUUAUUUUUCGCUCCUUUAGCUGAAAACAGCUCUUUUUGCUCGAUUUGGCUUAUUUUUCGCUCCCUUAUGCUCACUUAAGUAUAGAAACAUAAAUUUAAAGGAUUAGGAGCAUCAAAUUCACUAAUUUACAUAAUAAAUCCAAAAACGCAUCAAGAAUGGGAUUUAAAACUUGUUACUUUUAUAGCUUAUCAUUAGUAUAUUGUGGUUAAAAGAAGUGUGAAGCUAUGUCACUUGUUCGAAUAGUUAGAACCAUGAAUUUAGCCUAUAUGUUGUGGUUAAAAUGGUUAAAUUGCAAAUGUGAUAGUAUAUGUAUGGUAUAAUUGUUUAGAAUUAAACUUAUUAAGGAAGAGUAUUUGGCUGAAAUAUGUGGUUUGAAAAGAUGAAAUAGUUGUUUUGGUCAUUUGAAAGUUGCUAUUACUUUAACCAUUUAGAAAUUGUAUGUCACGUCGCGAUGUUGAGCAUGUGUCAUCAUGACGAGAUCAAAUCACCGAGUCACGUUGCGACGCGGAGCUUUAGUUGUUGGGAUGAAGCCAAGUUAGUAUGUUACGUCACGAUGAGGAACCCCCGAAGUCGUGACGUCUUGAAAACUUUACAGUUAGUCCUAAUUCAACCUUAGGUUAGCAUUAGAGCUUUCUUAAGCUUGUAUAUGACUCGAAAAUGGUUACGUAUUAUUUUUAUAUACUUGUUUUAUUAUUAUUUUUGAAUGUUUAAUGUUGUAAACUAAAUUUUGAUUUGUUUGUAGUUACUCAGACAACAAAUGUGACACCUUAUAGCUCGAACCCAAUAAUUAGGUUGGGUAUGGAGUUUUACAUCUGAAAACUUUUUGACACAUAUAAAGUCUUUUCAUCAAUUUCACAAUGUAAUUUUAACACAUCAAACAAUUAAAUUAACCACAAUGUAAGGCAAUCAAAUUUCAAAAACUGAAAUUUUGAGCAUUCGUUGCUUAAAAUCAAUCAAUCUUCAAUGACCUUCAUUUUCAAUGAUUCACCUAACUCUUUUACUUCAACAUAAAAAAAAAAACAUACCAAUUUACUAAAACUAAAUCUAAAUUAUCAAUCCAUUAUAAUUAGUUUAAAUUUAAUCUUAAACAAAUUUUAAUUACUCUAAGUUCAAAUAAUUUUUAAUACAAAAAUAAAUCAUAACACCUUUUAUCCUAAUUAAGCUAAUCUACGACUAAAUUAAUCAAAAAAUUCCUCCAAAUUAGAUUCAACCUUACUCAAUUAAAUAGUUGACUUACAUUUUCCCAAGAAUAUGUUCAUUUUAUUAUCAUAUAUAUUAAAAAUUACUAAAAUUAUUUUUCAAUUCAUUAUUUCUUUUAAAAUUAUAUUUUAAUAUUUUAAACAUAUUAUCAUUUCUUAAAUUGUUUUUUUUAUUUUUUAUAAUAUAUGUUAAUAUUUUUAUUUAAUAAUUUUUUGUAAAUAUCUUAGAUUAAUCUUGUGCAUAGUAUCUUACUAGAACUUUUGUCUCACAAUCCGUGUGGUCUUAGACAAUUUCUUCACUUUAAAUGCGCUUAAGUCAACCUAACUCUCAAAAAAUGAGAAUUCCCCUGGAAAUCUCUAAAGCACUAAAAAUAUAAUAGAAACAACUUGAAACGAAAAGAGCAACAAGAGAGUUGAAAAGUUACAAAAAAUAAUGCACACCGAGUGUUUAAGUAAAUUCUCUCAAUAUAUUUUUAACUUAAGAAUAACUUCAUACAAUAAGAUGAUCACAAAUGAAAGGGAGGCCUCUAUUUAUAGUUGAUCUCUCCAAAACUAAUGGUAUAGAUUGAGUUAUAUCGAUGGUCAAGAUUAAAGUCUAUAUAUAAUUGAGAGUCCUAAGUGAUUUAAACUCUAUACAAUCUUAUCUCUUUAGGAUUUACCUUAUUUACUCUAGUAGAGUAAUUCUAUUUUGACUGAAGGGUAUUAUUGAGCUACCAAGGCUUAAAGUAGAUGAAUUUCUCCAUGGAUUCCAUGAGUCGGGCUAGAUUAAGUGGAUAAAAUUAACCUCAUUUAAUAAAUUGACCUUUAUGAGACAUUCUGCGUGCAAUGAUCACAAGCUUUAUUAGACCUGUUCAAUGGUCGGGCUACUCGCCCAGGCCCAAAGGCUCGCCCGAAAUUUGAAGGGUUUGGGAAAAAAUAUUAGGCCCAAAAAUUGGGCUUGUGCAAAAAAAUUAGGCCCACUUAAAAUAUGGGGUCAGGCUCAGGCUUAAACAUUCAAGGCCCAAGCCGAGCCUGGUCCGGUUUGACCCAUUUUAAGUUUAUAAUAUUUUAUAUUAUGUUAUUUUUAUAUAUUAUGUAAUUUAGAACACAUUAAAAAAAACCCUAAUAACACACUUUAUUAAUCCUAAACUAGAUAAGAACACAACCCAUAAACAAUUUUGAAGAAGGCAGCAGCUAAUUUAUGGUGCAAUUCAAUGCAAAAAUUAUUGAAGAAAAUUGCAGCUAAAUGGUAGCACUUUGGAGCAGCAAAACAUGACACAAGCAAGGCAAUUGGCAGCUGUCUUGGACCGAUAUAGCAGCUAAAUUUGUGGAGAGCAAGAAAUUUAUAAAGGCAAGGGCCAAUGGCAGCAAUCAAGAAAAGAAAUUGAUGAUGGCGGUGGGAAGAAAAUUAAGAGUAAAAAUGAAAAGGUAAAUUUUUGGGUUAAGGGCUUAACAUUUUUAAGUGAUUUAGUCUUUCUUUUAUUUUUAAUGAAUAUUUAAUAUAUAAUACUAGGUGAUAUGUUAUUAAUAUAAUAUAUCUAAAUAAAUAUAAAUAUAUGAGAAAGGAAUAAAUAUAGAAAUAUACAUAUGUAAUAUAAGGAGCGACGAACCAAAAUAAAGAAGGAUUGAAAUAGCAAUUUUUCCAUAAGAGUGGGCUUUGGGUUUGGUUAUUGGGCCUUUAGGCAAACGACAAUAUUAAAUAACCUCUUUAAAUUAAUACUUAAUAAUUAAUAAAACUCCAAAAUUAAAAUUUUUGAAUAUGAAAUUCGCUUUCCUGUAAAUUUUUAGUAUUUUCUCUAGAUAUUGUUCCUCUUUUUGUAUUAAAAUAACUUGUUAAAUUGCGAGGGAUACAACGAAUAAUGUCUAAUAUUUCUUAAGAAUAAUGUCUAACACAUUUCAUGUUUAGCCUUUGUAUUUUUCACUUUUUCAUAAAAUUUCCUAAAAUGGUUACAUGUUUAGGAAUUAUUUUGUUAAAGGAAAAACUCCAUCUUUAAGAGUAUUCAUUAUGACCCACUUCUUUUUUUUUUAGAAAGUGAUAUAUAAAUUCUCCAAUAAUCCUGUUGAUUUUGUAAAUACCUGUAUUCUCGCUGCUACUGUAGAUGCUUCCCAUGUUGUCAACGUUACAACAAUGAUAAUGUCCCUUAUUAUAUUUAUAUGUUAACUUGGUGGGAAACAGCACACAAGCAUGUAUGAAAAAACAUGGUUACAAGUCCAAAACUAAUACCCCUAACUUUGAGAAAAAUGAAACCGCUUUGCCUAUGGCAAAUUGAGCCAUCAUGCAUAUCAAUGUAAAAAUCAAAAGAGAAAAAAAGACAAUCUUAUUAAGUCAAAUAUCAAUUUGGUUGAAACAGAUAACAUAAUUAUUGUGAUAAUUUUUUAAAUUAAUAUUAUGAUUAAUGCGAAAGGGUAAUCGAUAGACUCUAGUACCAUUAGAUAUAUUUGUGGCAAUCAAAAUGCAUUUACUAUUACUCCCAAUAAGAGAAAGGGGAAUAAAUUGUCUAUAUCCGAGUCUCAUGCUUUGCACAUGUGCUUAAUAAAGACAAUAUCUUGCUCAAACUUACAUGUGGAAGAAUCUUAGCCUUAAAUGAGGUACUUCAUGUUGUUAAUAUUAGAACUGUAAUAAGUCAAUUUUGUCUCGGGCCCAAACUACAAAAAUUUAAACCAAUAAAAAAAAAGUCCAUUUACAACAACAGGCCCAAAUACCCAAUCAUAGCCCAAAUACAAAACCCAACAACUCAAAAUUAAACCUAACCCUAAAACCCAAUGCCCAAGCCCACAACAUUAAACAUUUUCAGCAGGAAAAAAGGGGGUAGAAAACCCUAGCCGCAUGCCACGUUGGCGCCCCCCUCUGUCGCAAACGCCACCGCCGCUCGAGGCUCACCAACCACCGCCCUUCCAUGCGUCUGACGCCUCUGACACCUACAAAGAAGAAACUAUGCAAGAAGCCUACAUACAAAUGACAACAAAGAAACGGACAAAGAAUAGAAACAAAGGGUCUUGUAUUCGGCUAUAAAGUCCAAAACUACAUCUUUGUAUUUUUUUUACGCACACUAGUAAAUCAAAAAGGAGAACAGAAGUUUUAAAAUGUGUUAGUUUUUAUCUUUUACUUGUUUCUUUUCGUUUUCUUGUUUCUUUUUAUUUUUUACAAAUCUAUUUUAAUAAAAAAAGGUGAAAACAAAAAGAGGAAAGGAAGGCUCACCUUUAAUCAUCCUGUGGUCUCGUCAUCAGAGGUCCCUUCUCCGUCGUCGAUGCCGGAUCUAAAAAGGAUCGUGGUCCUUGUCUUUCGGCUUUUGGGUUGAGAAGGCUCAGCCUUCAAAUACGUAAAGAAAACGAGGGUUAAAAUACCCAUUUUGCGUGACGCUGGCCGCCGACCACGGUAGAGUGCGGAGGACCGCUGGCAAAACUAAGGGUCAACCAAAGGGGGAUUUGAAAGAACCUUUGGGGGUGUUAAGUUUUUUUUUUAAUUGCUUUGAUAGGAUAAGCAAACGACGCCAUUUUGAGCCCCUGAUCCUCGCGACCUGACCUGCUUUGGGGGGAUCCACGUGUUUUCGUUAAAUGGACUAUUUACGCCCCUAGCCCUUCCGCAUUCUUGUUCUUUUUAAUUUAGUCCUUUUUGCUUAUUUAUUUAUUUUAUAAAUUUGACCCCAAAAAUUUGUUGCGCGUUCCAAUUAAGUCCUUGACUCAUUGGCGAUUUAAAAAACAGGCACAUGUCCAGGGAUUGGGUUUUUUGCCCAUUUGGUCCUCAGCCUUUUCGCGCCUUUUGAUUUCAAUCCUCAUUCAAAUAUCUUGUUAUAAUUUUUACCUUUUAAUUCCAUUUUUACUAUAAUUUAAUCCUCAAGCUGUUUAAUUUCAACCCUUUUUCGCAAAUUUAUUAUUUAUUUAUUUAUAUGUGAUUUAUAUUAAGCUUAUUUAUUUUAUUUACUUUAAAUCUUUUCAUAUGUUAUUUAUUUUAAACUUACUUAUCUUAUUUAUUUUAAAUCUUUUCAUAUAUUGUUUAUUUUAAACUUUUUAUAUAUUAUUUAUUUUAAAUAUUUUUUAUAUAUAUUAUUUAUUUUAAACUAUUUUAUAUAUUAUCUAUUUUAAAUUUUCACAUAUAAUAUUCAAUUUAAACUGUUUUAUAUGUUAUUCAUUUUAAAAAUUUUAAGCUGUUUUAUUAUUUAUUUUAAGUUUUUUUCAUACAUUAUUUAUUUGAAACUGUUUUUUUAUAUUAUUUACUUUAAGUUCUUUCAUUUAUUAUUUAUUUUAAACUUUUUUAUAUUAUUUAUAUAUUAUUUUGUUUCAUUUUAUUUUGAUCAUUAAUGUUGAUAUUAAAAAUGGUGUAUUAUAUGAUUAUUGCCAUCGUACGCUUUAGGGAUUAUUUAUCAAUAUUUUCAUAGUAUUGACAUUCAUCAACGUAGCAUUUAUUCAUGUAUUAUUGCUCCCUGUUCCACAUUACCCUUUUUUUUAGCUAUUUCAUUUAAAUCACAUCGUGAAUUAGGCUCCAAUGUAUUUAUCCAAUAUAGAUUAUUUUAUUUUACUCUAAACAAAAUAAAUGCACAUCAUUAAGUGUUGUACUCGUUAUUAUUCAAAAAAGGAAAAUUUUUAAAAUAAGGUAAUAUUUCGCGUUUUGGGAAUUCGAGAAAACGUACCCUAACUUACGGGGUUUCGAUUUUCUUGUUAAACCUAAAUAGCCAAAUAUCCUUUUAAAUUUCAAAAUGCAUGAAAUUUCAAUAAAAUUUAAAGGCAAGCUUAUUCUUGAGGGUUCAAAGUGUCGUGUCUUAACUUACGGGAUGUGACAUUUUAUUACCUCGAGACGAGAGAAUCUUUAACAUUCUUUUCGAUUUAUCCGAGCGUUUUUAAAAUUAACAUUAAUAAAAGGAGGGAUCGUAUUUUAAAUUCUUUCAAAGUUUUCAAUUUUCGACAUUUAGACAUUAAUUAAUCAAUUAGGUACCAAUUUUGGGUAUAACGAGGGUGAUAAUCCUUCUUCGCACGUAACCGACUCCCGAACCCGUUUUCUCAAAAUUCGUAGACCAAAUUCACCUUUUUAGUAAAUCGAAACAUUUAUUAAAAGGACCAAAUUACGAGGUAACCCGAUCACAUCUCAUAAAAAAAAAUUGGUGGCGACUCUUAUUUUAAUUUUUGUUUUCAAACAAGUCAACCCUUUUUAAAAAAAAAUGGUUUCGACAAGAACCAAUUUAAUUUCUGUUAAAUUAUUGAAAAAAGUGAAAGCAAAAAGUUUUUUUUUAAAUCAAAUAAGAUCGUAAUGACAGAAAAAAAAAUUGUGGCAAAGGAUGACUAUUGUAGCAUUCAAAACAGUACAGCAAGUAUACUAAUAAAAUCUAAGAUAAAUAUGGGAGCUUCAAGUCAUUCAAUUCAAUCUUCACAAAAUAGAAAAUACGAGUUGUAUAAAAUUGAUUGAGUCCUCAAUAAUUUGUUUCUCUAUUAAAAGAGUUCUGAUUCGUCAACAAUAAAUAUAUCAAAUUAUAAUUAUUGAGGUAGAAUUGUAAUUAGUUGUAACUAUGAUCAGAGACGUACAACCAUCAUAUGGAAAAUAGGUAAUAACAUGAGUGGUAUUCAAAAUUUAAAUAAAAUAAAAUCGGUUAUUUCUCAAGGCUGUAGCUUUAAAUUUAAUUAUUUUACAAAAAUCUCAUUUAUUGUUACAUGAUUAGGGUUUGAAUCAAUGAAGUAAUUUGCACAAAUUAAAUUUUGUUUUUACAAAAUUCAUAAUAAAAUAUACAUUAAAUUACAAUUAAAUAUUUAAUACAUAAUCUGUGGUGUUUUUUAAAUUUCAUGAAUUAAUAUGUUUAAUUUUUUAAUGCUAUUUUCUUUAAAUAAAAGGGUAUUUUGGAGAAAGCGGUUAAAAGGGCUUGGGGGCAGUUAUGUCUCUGCGUUUUCGCUUAUUAUUUAAGAGGACUCUCAGUCUCUCCUCAACCUUUUAUCAAAGGACAGUAAUCUAAACGGAAAUUGAAGCCGAAAGCUCGUUGAAAGCCCUUACCAGCUACCAAGGUUAUUUUCUUCCUUUUUGCUAUCUUCGAUUCGUUGAAUAAUAGCUUUUUAAUGAACCAAAUUCCAUUGAAAACUGUCAAUCUCGAGUUUGAUUGUCAAAGUCAGGUUUCUUUAUGGACUUAUAUUAUGGAAUCAAAGAUUGGGUUGCUAGAUUUUUAUCCGAAUUCGAUAUAGCUUUGGAAAGAUUCAGCGAUUUGAAGUGUUUUAACUCGAAAUUAGAGUUAGAUAGAAAACCUCAAAAGCUGGGAAAAGGAAAGCAACAUUCUUACGAUAAGCUGUAACCAAAUACUAAAUUAAAGUUUGGAUUUUGGAAUCCAAUCUUUGUUUGAUUGUGAAAUGAAUCCUUCUUAUUGGGUUAUGACAUCUUAAAUCAUUGUUAACUCUGGAACACACAAGAUUGGAAUUUUGUUGAAUUUCUGAUUAUGUAGCAGUUAGGUUUCUUAAUUUAAGAGUAGGCAUUUUGGGUAGUUAUAUUGACAAGCUUUUCUGGUUUUCAGCUUUGAUUUUUCUUUCUUUUUGUCUCUGGGAUUUGAGAGUUGUGAAGGUUAAGAAGGUCUUGAGUGAUGGCAUUACAAGAGAAGUUAGAUAGAUUUAAACAGCAGCAGGAGAAGUGUCAGUCGAUGCUCUCCAACAUUGCAGCAAAAUCAGCAUCUUCUAGGUCCACUCCAAAACCUGUACCUGCGGCCGCCUCCCCCUUUCCCAGUGCAAGACCUUCUGCUCCUGUCAAAUUCUCAAAUGAUACCGAGAGGCUUCAGCACAUUAACAGCAUUCGAAAGGCUCCUGUUGGAGCUCAAAUGAAGCGUGUUAUUGACAUUCUGUUUCAGGUACUUUUAGCCCAUUUCAAUCUUUAUGGUUCAUGCUCUCAAUGCAAAUAAUUCAAGGACCAUACCUUGUUAACAUUCGUAAAUGAUUUUUAGUGUUGCAAGUUUCAUUGCUAAAGUGAUGGUUUGCUAGCUCAGAGGAUGAAUCUAUUAUGAAGCAAAACUGCUUUUAUUGAGAAAUUGAUGGCAAUGUGCAUUCAAAUACUGCAUAAAGGAGAAAUCUUCUUGUUGCUUAUGUGCCUACUUUAGUCUUCAAACUUUUCUAGCCCCGGAGCCUGACUAGCAUGUGCUAUCUGCUCCUAUUUGCUAUUGUUAUUCUCAUCCCAUUGAGUUUGUAUUGGGUUAGUUUUACCCUGCAUUUCUGAUAUGGUAAUGCAAGUAAAGUUGAAUAAUGUUUUAGCAAUUUUUAAGGGUAGCAGAUACAAGUGAUUUUGGGGUUAGAACUUGGGAUAGCAUCUAGUAGGUCCCUGCAGUAGAGCACUGUUGUAUUCUUUUGUAACCUUUUUGAGUUGGAAAUGGUAGAUUUGCUUUGCUAUAUUUGGAAAUAUCUUUUCAAAUGUCUAGUAAGAGAGCACAGGUGUGGAUUUUUACUGUAUUAAUGUAUUAUUAAUUUCAUCAAGUAGUUAUAUUGGAUUUUACAUCAGAGAAUGAUGGGAGACUUGAGAUAUAAAUCAUUUGCAUUUCGUGGGUUAUUGAAUAACUGCUAGUUUUCGUUACCAUGGACUUUUUACAUCUUUGUUUCUGCUGGCACCACUAUAGAUUAUUGAACAGACAAUAGUGCUUUGUAAGGGGCUGAAAUUAUUAACGAUCUAAAAGCUGUAAAAUAUGUAUUCAUGGUUGCAGACAAGGCAAGCUUUCACACCAGAGCAGAUCAAUGAAGCAUGUUAUGUUGAUGUGAAUGGCAACAAAGAUGUCUUUGAGGGCUUGAGGAAAAACCCAAAAGUGAACUAUGAUGGAAAGCGCUUCUCUUACAAGGUUACAAUUACUUUGUUGCUAUUGUGACCUUCGAUAGAUUUUUUCUUUUUUUUUUUAUUUCAGCAUUUAUUUUACAAUAUGCAAUUACGCAUUGUCCCUAUUGUCUAGUCUCCUUCAUAAAUAUUGCAAUUUUGUAUAAUUUAUCCUUACAGGCUAAGCAUGACGUAAAAAACAAGAAUGAACUUCUUGUCUUGAUUCGGAAAUAUAUUGAAGGCAUUGCUGUUAUUGAUCUCAAGGAUGCAUACCCGAAUGUGAUGGAGGACUUGCAGGUACACUUGUGUUGCAGAUUUUCCUUCACCCUACUUACUCCUAUGUCCCCAUAUAAUUUCUGUAAUAUGUCUUGACUUAGCUUUCAGUUUACAUAUUUCUAUUGAAGCCUUUAGUACCUAAAUUCUUUACUAAAUUUCUUUUGGUUCUUUAUUUCUUUUUCUAACAAUUAAAUGUGAUAAAAGCAAAGAGUGCAACACCUUAUUUUUGCUCACAGAUGAUUAAUAUUUGUGCAUAAAGUGGGAGAUCUUGGGAGCUGUUCUGCACAUAACAUUGAAUUGGAAGGUUUAAGUUUUGAAAUCCCAGCUUCUGCGUUUGGGUGGAAAAGCACUUUUGACUCCAAAAGCCAAUUGUUUUCCAUUGCUUUUGCGGUUGAAAAGUGCUUUUGGAACCCCAAACGCAAUGGAGAACAGGGGCUUAGUAAGCAUUAUUGAUAAAAUUCUCAAUGAAACUAUGCUUGAAUAAGUUGGUGUGGACUAUCAGUUGCUAAUUUCCUUGUAAAAGGGAAACUGACUUCAGAGUUGGUUUUUAGGAGAUUUUCAUGACAGUUUCAUUUAUUAUCGUUGUAAAUUAUUCUAAUGGCUUCUAUUCUAUUGCUUUCAUUUUGCCUGUGUUGUUUUGGCCUUUAAGGGAGGGAGGGAGGGGAACUUUUUUCUCACAAAUCUACUUGUUCAGUUCUUAAUCUUUUAUAUAUUAAAUUAUACGUUACACAUAGGCACAAAAUUCAUUUAAAUAGUGCUGGUAAGUUAAUAUGUCUGUUGCAAUGGCUGUUGAUAUAGUUAUUCUUUUUGUAGGGUCUGAAAGCUGCAGGUCAGAUUUGGCUGCUAUCAAAUUUUGAUUCUCAGGAGGACAUUGCCUUCCCCAAUGAUCCCAGGGUGCCUAUUAAGGUUGAUGAUGACCUUAAAGAGCUAUUUCGGUCUAUUGAAUUGCCACGAGACAUGCUCGACAUCGAAAAAGAUCUCCAAAAGAAUGGCAUGAAACCUGCUACUAACACAGCAAAAAGGAGGGCUGCUGCACAAGUCCAAGGCAUUACCUCCAAACCCAAACCCAGACAGAAAAACAAAGAGUUCUCCAAGAAGGCCAAGCUAACCAAUGCACAUCUUCCAGAACUUUUCCAGAGUCUUAAAAAUUCUUGAAGUCAGUUGCAGAUCUCAUAAGACCUCGAUGGGCUGCUGGCCACCACCGUAUUUAUUAAGGUUAUCACUGACGAUGAAUAAGAUAAUUUCUCAUUAUAUAGAACAAGGUAUUGCAAGGGUUCUGGCCAUGACUUACGGUUAAACCCGUAUAAUCCUACAAACUCAUACGGUGCUAUAUAUAACUCGGUACUCCAACAAUCACCAUGCUUCCAUCAAUGCUAUAUGCUAUUGGGUAGACUUACAAUGCCCUACUAAACUGAAUGUUGGAUAUAUAUGUAGACCAAGCAAUGAAAAUCCUUUUUUCUUUCCCUUGUAUGUAUGUAGCAACAAUAUUGGUCCAAUUGUUAAAUUGCAACAAUAGCAACAGUUGCUACAUUUUCUUAUUGUUUGACUUGCAUGCUUUGAAACUUUGAACUCAAAAUUUCUAAAAUGGAAAGCCUACUGGUUGCACGUUAUUGCAAUAGGACAUGCACUUUAUUAUACCUGAAAGCAGUACUGUAUCCACUGAUAAUCUGGUAGUAAUUUAAGUUCGGAUCAGAUACAAGUGGGUGAGUCGUAUGCCUCAGCAUGUUGGUACAUAUAUUUCAAAGUAGUGAUGAUAGUUUAGGGUAAUAUCCGGGGGUUCGUUUCUUCUCAUAUUUAAAGUUGUCUGCUUAAUCUUAUGACCCAUCCCUUGUUUUGCCCAUUGGUCAAUGAGUGACCAUUCAACUUCGCUUCUCUGUAUAAUUUUAAAACCCCAGGAAAGUUGUGCUUCAAGACAAGCUUUAAAUGCUUUCGUUUUGGAGUUCAAUCUUCUUGUUCCAGUCAAAAUAGUUCGUGACAGGACAUCAUGGGAGCAGGUACUUUAUGCGUCUCUUUCUUCAACAAUUAUCUUAUUUAUGAAAACAACUUCAGUUAGACAAUUCAAUAUGAUUACUCUUAUUUAUGGAUAUAAAUUUUCAAAAAAUGGUACAUGAGUUAUACUCAUUUUUCUGAAAUUGGUACCUAAAAUUUUUUUUUGUCACAAAGUGGUAUUUAUAGUAUAUUCCGUUAUUUAAAGUGGUAUUUAAACUAUUUUUUUCCUCAAGUAGUACCGAAAUUAUAUUAUGUUAUCCAAAUUACCUUAGUUGUUAAAAGAAUAUCUUACCUAAUCAUUUUGUGAUAAAAACAAAAAAAGUUAAAUAUUAGUUUCUUAAUUCUUUUUAAUUUAGAAAAUGCUCAUCUAUUUGUUCGUCACCCAAGAACUUUGAUAAUGGAAAAUUCAAGAAUAUGUUGAAAACCUUAUCCAAAUCCUGUUUUUGAUGACAAAACCCAGAUUCCGGCGAGCUUCUUUUUCGUUUCUAAACCUAAAUUUUAAUUCUAUUUUGAGUAUUAUUUUUUAAAAAACAAAUUUCUUCAUCUUUUUUAUUACUUUAUGUUAAUGUUGAGUCAACUUCUAUAAUAAUAAUAAAAAAAUUCAUAUAAAGCAUGAAAUUAUGAGAAAAGGGUGAAUAGAAAAAAAUGAUAAGAGGAUUAAAAAAAAGCAUUAAAAGAGAAGAAAGAAUCGUAGGAGUGAGAGUCUGAAUUUUUUUUCAAUUUUAAUUUAAUUACAUUUGAUUUUUUAUAUAAUUUAAUUUAAUUUUAAGGUAAACUAUACUAUUAGUCACUCAAUAAUAUGUAAGUUUUCGUUUUGGUAUACUUAAAUAAAAAAAGCUACAAUUUGGUCAAUAACUUUUUCGAAAUUGUUUUUUUUUUUAUCAUUCAACCAUUAAGUAGCCAACAAUGAUACUUUUUUAGUUGGUAUAGUGACAAUUUUAGUCAUCAAAUUUUAUAUUUUAUGUCUAUUUGACCAUAAUUCUAUAUAAAUGAUAAAAAUUAAAAUUAUUUUUUUAAAAGAAUAAGAAAAAUAUACAAAAUAUAAGAAUACAUAGAAAAUUUUAAAAAUUAAAAUGAAAAUAGAUCAAAAUUUCAGUUAAAGUGAAAAAUUAUUUUCCAUGGUAAGAAAAGUAAAAGAAAACUAUUCAAAAUCAAUUUGGUUUUGAAAAUUAAUUUAAAUGAUUUUAAAUUUUGAAAUGAGUUUGAAAAAAGAAAAUAUUGCGUUUAUUUUGUAUUUUUAUUUGUCUAAAAAAUGGUAUCAGAGUUAGUUUUAUAAGCCUUUGUAAUAUUAGUUUUAAAAAUUCUUCAAUAGCAUAAAACUCGACUUGAAGAUAUUACUAGUUUAGUUUUGUUCUAUUUUUAAUUUAUUAUCGGAUUUUAUUGAAUGACCAUUUUCAUUCUUAUGUCUCAAUAUUAAAUAAUCUUAAGCUUUACUAUAAUAGAAUCUUGAGUUUUCUUGAAUGAUCGUUAGUUUUUUUUUUAUAUUUAACCUUUAUACCAUAUGAAUAUUAUGUUAAGGGAUUAAAAUUAAUUUAGUCUUUUUUAUUAUUAUCUAUUUUCAUGAUUUAAUGGUAAUCUUGAAAUUUAUUGUUGCAAUAAUUAGAAAAUAACAUGAAUUUUUAUAUGGACUUUUUUAAAUUUUUUUUAAAUGAUAUUUCUAUUUUUUUAAAAUAACUUCUAUAUAAAAUUAGGGUUAAAUAAACAAAAAGUAUAAAAUUUAAGGGCUAAAAUUAUUAAUAUAUUCUCUAAAAAGGUGUCACUGGUAACCACUUAACAAUUUGGUGACAAAAGAUAAUAAUUUCAAAUACAAUAGUGAUCAAAUUAUAACUUUUUUUUAAUUAAGUGAUCAAAACAAAGACUCACUUAUAAUUGAACGAGUACUAAUGUAUUGUCACAAAAGUUGCCACCUUAAUAUCGCUAAAAAAACUAAUGUUUUAGUCUUCACUAAGCGAUUUAAUUUUCUUUUAAGAUUAAUAAUAGUAUGAAAUAAAAAAAUAAAAAUAAAAAACCAAACUACUAAAAACUGUAUAGAUAUUUAUUAUUGUUUUGAAAGAAGAACCCCAUUUGUCCAACCAUUCAUAAUGCAGACAAUAAAAGAAUAAAUCCAGUUAUUUUCGAGAGUAGUAGCAUUCACAUCUACAAGUGCCUUAAUUAAGCAGUCGACGAAACAUUUUUGCUUUCCUUUCAGGUCAAGCACUCAGGUUUUUGACAAAAUUAAAAGAAAAAAAAACUCUUAUUAUGAACAAAACCAGAUACGUUAAAGGAUAAUACUUUGCAUACAGAGUAAAAAUUCCAAAAAUAAUGAGCUUAGCAAAAAGGAUGCACAAUCAACUCAAUAUUUUCAGUAGUUCAUCUGUCGAUCUCAAUUUUAAUCCAGACUGCAAAAAACACAUCCUUGCCUGUAAUUAUUAAUUGGAGAACAACAUCAUUCUACAAAAAUAAUAUACAUUCAUCCAUUUAACCACCUUGUAUCAGUGCAUCUUCCUUAAAAAAAAGAUACACCUAUUUACAUUCCAUGACUUAGACUUCUUUGAGAAUCAAAGUUUCUGAAAUAUAGAACAAUUGCAUGCUUACUGUCAAACUGUAUCUACUAUAUACAUAACUAUCACGAAGAGAGAGAGAGAGGGGGGGCGGGGGCAGAAAAAAAAGCCUGCACUACAAUCAAGCAGCCAAAAAUCUGCAACAACAACAAAAAAAAGACUUAAUCAAUUGUGAAGUGGGUUUGGUCCUCCUGGAACUGUUCGAUAGGAAACUUCAUGAAUUGGUCGACUCUUUUCUGCUUUAGAUUCCUCAGAAGACUUUGUAGGGAAGUGCCAUGCGAAGAAAUCUGUCUUGCUUGGUUGUUCAUCUUCAUUACUUAGGGUCCUAUGGAUGUAUCGGCAACUUGAGAAGGCGAUGGUGGAAGAGAGUAUAAUGAUAAUAAUAAACAACAAAAAUGAGAAUUUGGGAUUCCUUAUUCUCAUGAUUUUAAUCAAGAAGAAAGGGCAGAAGAUGAAGUUUGUGGAAUUGAGUUUAUGCACCUCAUAAAGAGGCAGGUAGUAGGUCUAUAUUGAUACGAGAUCAAAGCAUUAAGCAGCAACCAAUGGUGAAAGACGUUGUCAAAAUCUAGCAAUAAAUUCAGCUUUGUAUAAUGACGGAAAUACCCUUCAAACUUUGUCUAAAUCUGCCAUCCUCUUAUUAAUUACUCCCUGCCACAUCAGUAUGAAACUAGUAACCUCUGACCCAACUUUGUAAUGGAGAUAUGGUUGCUUUUAGGAUGCCUUUAAAAGCUUAAGAUUGUGAAAGAUAAAAAAGCAAUAGAAAAGGGUUAAAUUUGGAUAAAAUCUUAAUCCCAAUUUGGGUUUGUGAAGAUCAAUUAUUGAUGCUUGAAUGAACAUGGAGAUGUUCAUAAUAGUUUUCUUCAUGAAAUGGAACUACUUUCUCAAGGUAUUUUGCAUUUUUUUUCAGUUGCAUCUAGAAAGGCUAGUCAUCAAAUAAUUAUAGGGUGGUCCAGUAGGGUUAACUUUGUAUAAGAUAGGAGGGGUUUUAUGUAGACAUAUUGCUAUCAUGGGCUCCAUUUUUUGAAGCUUGUUUCAAUGAUAUGAGUACUGGCAGAUCGAUUUAUGCAGAAAAGAUUAGUGAUGAAAAAAGAGUUAAGAUCAAAGCUUUAUAAUUGGAAUACAUAUUUAAUGCCAAGCUUGUUUGUUUUAUGAUAUUGCACACUUUUGGUUUAGAGGGGGAAUAUAAAGUGAUAGUCGAAAGUCGUAGUCACAGCAUCAGCUGACAAAGAUGUUAUUGCUCCACUGCUGAUAAUUUUCCUGGAAAGAGAAAUGGAAAAUUUUUAUGGGAUUCGAAUUUGAGGAAGUGUAUGAUAAUUAGGUAGUGUGCUAUACAAUAAUUGUCAUCAGUUUCAUCUUCUUUAUAAGUAGCUUCUCUGCUUCCAAUUUUAUGGAUUAAAAUUAUAAUAUUAAGAGAGAGUUUUCUCGUUUAAAGGUUUAUCAUGGCUCAAGUUUGAAUAUAAUGAAGAUUCGAUAUAAUUGUUGAAUAUCGAGAGAAUUCAAAUGGAAAGAAAAUCUUAUUUAUAAAUUGAGCUAAAUUUAUUUGUUCAAGCUUAACCCAACUUGAAAUAUGACAUUGAAAUUUUGUCCAAGUCUAACUAUAUAUAUAUAUAUAAUAUAUAUAUAUAUAUAUAUUUGUAAAUGAUUAAUUCAAGUUCAUUUUAAGACUCUCGUAUUAUUUAAAAAAAAGUAAAAUAUUUAUGUUUAAUUUAAAAUUUAAUAAUUUUACAUGUAAACAACUUAACAUUUAUUUAAUAUUUACAUUAUAAUAUUAUAUUAAUAUAAAUAUAAAUUUUAUGUUAUAAACUACAUAUAUAAAAAUAGCAUAAUAUAAUAUAUUAGAAAAUGAGUCGAAAUAGACCUGAGUUUUGAAUGUUCAAAUCUGAGCCAAACCAAUAUUUCAAACAAAGAUUUUUUUUUUUGCCAAUGUCUACUCUUCGGAUCAAAUAUUUUUACUAGAUUUUUGAGCUUGAGUGAAUAACCAAACCCUUAAAAGCAAGUCUAUUUCGGAAAUAGCUACUUCAAUAUCUUUUUUUCUUUAAUGGCGUGUUGAAAUUGGAACGAAAGUACAAAAUAUUCCAUGCAACACAAUGUUAUUUCCCCUUAUUGCAUUUCUUUGAAAUAUUGUAUUAUGUAAACUUCUAAAACUUUUUAAUCUAUGCAUGAUACACUUUGGACUCAUAAUUGAUACAGUAUCAUAAAGUCUUUAUAUGAUUGCAUUUUUGUCUUUUAAUCAAAUUAUUUUUAUAUAAUUAAUAUGCUGAUCUGAUCCAAUUAAAAGAAUUAAGUUUUAAAUUGAAUAAAUAAAUAUAUAUAUAUAAGGAUUGAACCUAAUAUAUAAAACACCAAAAAUAAAUAUUUAUUCUCAAAGGAUUAAUUUACUCAUCCGAGGACCAAAAUGCAAUGGGGAACACUUAAAGAGGCUAUAUAUUCUCUUCACGCUCCAUCUACUGAGGGUCAGGUGUUGUUUAGCUAGAGAGGGAUGUACCCCUACGCCAUUCCCUAGUAGCGCUGGUUUCUAAAUAGGCAAUUAGAUGGAAAAUGUCGUUGAUGCUCUCCCGUAUUAGGUCCUAAUGGGGCCUCUAAUUAAUUCGUCAUUAAAUAGGUGGUCCAAUCCUAAUUUGAACAUACAAUUAUAUUUAACUUAAUAAUUAUUUAUACAUUAGAGUCUUGAACUUUUUUUUUCUAAACUAAACCCUAAAUUUAGUUAUUGUUCCUAUAUCAGUGUCUCAACUAGGCAACUAUUCUCAUAUUGGGGCUUGAAAUUUUUUUGUCCAAGUUAAUCAUCAAACUUGACAAUUGUUCCUGUAUUAAAGCUUGAACUGGAUAAUUGUUCCCACAGUGGAGUCUAAACUUUAGGAUUUUUAAAGAAAUAUAAUAGACUAACUUAGACCGAAAAAUUAUUCAAGUCCUAAUGUGAGAAUAAUUAUUAGAUUUAGAUUCUAAUUUAGAUAAAAGAAUUCAAACCCUAAUAUUAAAAUAAUUACCAAGUCCAUGCCCAAAAAGUUUUUUUUUCUUUUUCUCCUAAGCAUGUGAUAUGCUACGAAAAAGGGAAGAAAAAUAUGCAUUAACAAGCAAAUAACCAAAAUUGAAAGAAAACUUUGCCUAACGUGUAUCUCAUAAAGAUAGCAUGUGGAGAUAAGCAAUGGGAGCAGGGGCUAUGCCAAUUUCAACAAAUCCUAUUGUUUAUCUCUCUAGCUUUGUGGAAGGAUUAGUAAGAGUGAUUAGGGUUAUAUUCAUAAUAAUCAGUAAUGAUUAUAUUUUUUAAUUAAAAAAAAAAGUAGAUGGGUUGUAAAAUUGAAAACUAAAACUAAAAUUGUAAAUGAAAAUUAAUAUAAUUGAUUCCACAUUGAUACAAAGAUAAAUUUUAAUAUUCUUUAAUUUAGUUUUAAUUACAAGCAAAACUCCUCAUAAUUAAUCUAUUCUUACUUCCUCGAUAAUUUUUUUUAUUCACAAAUAACAUUAAAAUGAAAUGUUUAAAAUUCAUUUCAUCUAUAGUACCGGAACUUAGAGAGACUCAAUUUUAGCCAAAUAUACACAUAAACAAGGUUUAUUUAAACUAGACUACUAAUCCACGUAACAAUAAUUAAAUGCUAAGACAUACAUGAUUAUUCUAAUCAUAUGACUUUCAUUUUAUGUAAUUGGGGCAUCAUAAUAUUAAUAUAUAAUUUAUGUGUAAUUCGGAUACUAUAAUUUUUACAUAUUAAUUUUAAUUUUUAAUUAGCCAAUUAUCAAUUAAAAAUUAGUUACAUAAGUAUCUACACACAUUGGCAUAGUUAAUGGGGCAGGCAAUGGUCUCCCCUCGGUUAAGGGGUGGAAUAAUAGUUUUAGUCCAUUUUAGUUAUGAAUUAUUUAAUUUAAGUCAUUUUUAAGCAAUUUUUUUCUUUUGCUACUCAAGCUUUUAAAACAUUAUUUUGGUCCCCAAUAUCAUAUUCAUAAUUUCACCCUUGUCUACACAUAUUUAAUAAUUAAAGUCUAUUAUAUUUGAUCACUUUUAAAUUGGACUAACCUUUUAUGAUAAUAAAUAAUAACAUAUAAUUAUUUUUAUUAUAUGUACAUUACAUCCAUAUUACCCAACAACCAGACCUAACUUUAAUCCUAAUAAUGCGCAUUUGUAAGUUAAAAUUUGCAUAAAGGUUGGAAAAGACAAACAAACCCUUAAAAAAAUUGUAUUUUAACAUUAAACCACAGGUGUUGGGUAACUUAGUGCUCACUUUAUAUGUUAGAAGGAAUGGAAUGCACCUUAAAUAAAAAUUUAUCUUACAUUAUGUUCCCUGGUGCUUAUUGUUCAAACUUUUCUUCUCAUUUGAGCUUCAGAACUAUUCUUUGCUAGAAAGCUCCAAACUUCUUCAAAUCAUAAAUCAUCUUAAAAAUCAACUUCAAACUCUUUUUGCUUCAAUUCUAUUACCUAUUUCAUGAAAAUUAAAAUCCAAAAAUUAGACAUUUAAACCAUAAAAUACAAAAGAAAACAUCAUAAAAUAAAUAUAAAUUAUGCAACCUAACAAACUCCCCCCACACUUAAACCAUACUUCCCCUCAAGCAAACAAUAGUUGAAAGUCAUCAAUUCUCACAUUAAAGGUUGAUUUUUGUUUCUAAAAGGAUGUUCAAAAUAAGCAUUUUAAAGGCUUCAAGACUAACUACUGCUGCCCCUCUUUGACUCACAUCUUUUCUGAUGAUUGCCUUUUCUUUGGAAUGAUUGUUAAAAAAAUUGUUCUAUAGCUUUGAAGCUUCUUUAGAUGUUCAAAAAUGCUUCAAGUCGAUCGGUGAAUUUUAGCAAAUCUUCUAUUCUCUUAUUGGAGAACACCCUUGUUGGAAUUUUGUGUACUCGAUUGGUGUGAAUGACAUGAGAGAUGACUCGAAUAUUUGAGUCUCCCAUCAGGUGUCCAUUGAUUUUAUUUGCAAAAAAGAUCCAAAGACAGGGAAGCUUCUCUCGCAAGCAGGAUGCGAAGGCUUAGAGAGGUUAUACUUGUAAAUGAAUGUAAACAUUGAGGUUAUCCUUACGAGUACAUGAUAGAUUAAGCUUAAAUAAAUAGUUAUGUUUAUUAGAAAUACUUUUGGUUCCCACUGCAGCGUUGUUAACAACAGUAUAGCAAAUGUUAUUUUUCAUCUUUCUUGUGCUGAAAUUUCCAAAAUGUUUUGGUGCCUUGAGUUACUUAGAAAGCAAGGAAGAAAAUCCUUCCUUCCGAAUUAAUAAACUUUCUCCCUACUUUCUUAUUAUCAAAUCUUCAUUCAAUUUGGUGCUGGAAAUCUCAGGUUGAUUAAAGAAAAAGCUAAUAGUCCGAUUAAGUGUAGCAAAACAAAAUCCAUUCAAAAUAUCAAAUUUCAUUAAAGUGUAAAUGAGCUGAUUAUGCAAUAUGAAUUUUCUUUUGAAAUAAGAAUGGCCAAAGUGUCACACUGAGUACAAUGUUUUAAUUAAUUUUUACAUUCUGAACUGAACCAUAAAAAGAUUAAAUUAAAUAUAAAAUCUGAAAACAAUGACUCCCCCCCCCCCGGGGUACCAAUUCAUCUAAUUUAAGUCUUAAUUAAUUUUUACUCCACAGUAGGCUCAUACCACUUCAGUUCUGAUAUGAGCCCACAAGCCCAAGCUUUGAUGAACUUCCAAAUCCCUUGAAAUCAGACAUCUCUUUCCUUCAAUCUAAUAACAAAACAUUUCUAAUUAAGAAAGAAAACAGUAGACAAACACAAGGAUCUUAAAGAAUGGUAGUUGAUUUUACUGACCAAGAAUCAAUAAUGGAGUGAAUUUAACCACGAUUCAUCACUUUUUCAAACUUUACACUGCCUUGUCUGGCCGGCAUUUCGUCUUGCACAACAUCCCACAAAGUAUAUAAUCGACUGCCAUAGCAAAACCACACCACUCAAACAAAUUAACAAUAAUCUCUACGGAAUCGAAUUGAAUGGUAUUUUUUUUCAUUGAUGCAACUGAGGAAAGAGAUCUGCAGAUGGUAGGAAAAACAUUAAUAAAAGAGAAUCUUACCAAGACGACAAAUAGUGCCAAAUUAAAGAUUGCGACGACUCUCCACUCGGUUUUCAUGUAUUGUGCAACUCCUGCCCUGUGAAGCGAUCAAAAGACAGCAAAUGGUAGUGAGAACUGUAUGCAAUAGAUGAGAUGGGAUGUAGGAAUAUCGAAAUGCUUACUUGCAAGAAUCGCAAUUAUAGCAUUUCACAACCCGAGAGUUUUUGUAAAGCUUGCAGUCCUCAUUAGAACUAACUGGAUGAAAGCUCAAGUCAUAGUAUGAAGCAUUGACAACGGGAUAACCACAUCUAUGACCAAGUUAAAUGGAUAAACAUGAUUAAAUAUAGGUGCAAGUGCAUAGAGCCUGCCUAACUCGGAAAAAUAAGAACAAAAAGACAAUUACUCGGAUGGGGGUCGACAGCAACCAGCUUCAAUAGGCGUCAGUUUUGCCAUCUUAUACUGCUUAAGAGUCUGAAAAUCCGAUUUGAAACAUUAGAAUAGAUUCAGGGGAACAAGUACCACUCGAGAGUUAAAAAGUAGACCUUGUAUUGUUUUGCUAGGUUGUUGCAAUCCUCAGAUUUCACAAGACAACUCUUCAAUCGCUUCCAAUUAUCGGUAUUAUUCAGCUGACAAAAAACAAAGGCAAAUGCUAAAUACGGCAAAACAAAGUGGAAGUUACGUUGCCAAUAAAAUUGAAAGCCUCACCUGCUUUAGAAACCAUGAACUAUAGUCUUUAAGCUGAUAUUCCUUGUAUCUGAUAAGCAAAGAAGAUAAAAGAAACUAGGGUCAUAAACCAACCUCACUAAACCAAAUCGCAAAACAACAAUGAUACAUUUUUUCGAGGCAAGUAUCAAAGAAAACACCCAUGGAAGAAAAAAUGGAUUCAGCACAUAGAGGCAAUGAGAAAAAUCUUCCAUUGAAGUGCAUAUUUCCAUACCUCAAGCCAGACACAUUAUGACCAGAUCCAUUAUUUGUUAUAAUGAAACUGCAAGAAAAGGCAUAAAAUCAAUUCGUAUAACUUGCAAGCUCUUGUGAAACAAGGAGUACAAAAGAAGGCCUUCAAUGAUGCAAACAAAGUAAGCAUGGGAAUGUGCCAUGGAAACAUAUAACCUAAGGUAACCUUACAAAUUAAAAGGAAAAGAAAAGAUCAAGACCUAAAUGAAAACAAAUAGCAUAAUGCAGCAAUCAUUUGUUGCUCGAGAAGUCUGAACUUAAGAUAAUAGAAUCACAUUAGCUAUAAGACACAACAAGCUUUUUCCCGGGAUCACUAGUAACCCGAAAAAUCUAUACAUCUUUGUAUAACCAUAUAUGAACAUGAAGUUUACUUGAAUUAAAAAUACUUACGCCAACACCGUGAAUACCAGGAUCGCCACCAGAAUCAUGCAUAACAAUAUCAAAUACUGCAAGCCAAUGAGUCAAGGAUUCCCAAGAAGGAAAUUAAGAGAUAACUGAAGCAACAAAAUUUCUAGAAUUCUUAAUAACUCAAAAGUUAUAUAUGGAUACAAUCCACAAUAGUAUUGCGUUCUUCUUCAGCGCCCCCAGAAACCCGAUCAUGGAUCUAAAUUUCGAACAAAACAACUGUAAUUGUAAGUUCCCUAUACAGAGAUAGGGAAUUAGGGUAAUCAUAAACAACAGAGUGAUAAAAACUUACACUAAAAAAAUGAAACCACCAAGCCCUAAAACUGGAAGAGUAAGGGAUUUUCGACAUCCAUCAUGGUGAGUGCUCAUCCAUACCCCAAAAAUUGCAACAGCAAUAGCUAAAAGCUGCCCAUUGAAAAGCAUACACAACAAACAUAUAAUGACCUACAAACAAGGCAAAAAAUUUCGAAGUUUUCUCUUUUACUUGUACAAGAACAAGAACUAAAGCAGAACCAUCUAAAUAAGCAACCGAUUAUGGUAGAACAGGUAGAAAAAUAGUAACUUUUCUGCAAAUCUAUACAUUGAGUUGGCCUACCAGCUCAAUGUUCAAGAAACUAAAGAGAAAACCCAAAAAAACUUCAAUCUAAGAACGAAAGAGCAGAAAUAAAGCUGACAUUGUGACCCACAAUACAAAAUCAAACCCAUUUGUGAUAAUAUCAUAGCAAGAGAAAAACCCCAAAAAGAAGGGCAUACCAUAGUAAGGAAGUUGAUCCAUCUGAUCACAAAAUUGCUUGUUCCCAUACCCAUUUUCACUUUUCUUUAAAAGAUACAAGCUUUACAAACAAAAAAUACCCCCAAAAAACAAAAGGACCUAACAAAGAAAGCGGUGAUGAAGAUUUUUUUUUUUUGGGGGGGGGGGAAGCAUUCAAGAGUUUGAAAAGAAUGAUUUUUGGAAAUAUAAAUAAAAUGAAAAGAAAGUAUUAGAAGUUUCUUGAGGAACUCAGAUAUGGCACUUGCAUUGCAAGAGAAGAUAGAGAGAAGGGAAGCAAGGCAAGUAGAAAGGGAAACGUGAAAGCCUGAAGGGCGAGAGAAGGGUAUUUUGGUCAAUAUACAUUCACAUGCCUCAUGUUUGUUUUUUUCCAGUUCCACAUAACAGAAAGCAAAGCUUCUUUUUUUUGCUUAUAUCAUCAGGAUUUACGACGAUAUCCAACAAAACCACCCUGAUAUUAUUGCAUACAUACAGUGAUAGGUUUUACUUAGAUUAUUGCGUAAGACAAGAAGGGUCGACGACGUAUGUUUCUUUUUGUGGUAAGAAACCCAGUUUAACAAUGGUGUGGAGAUUAUUAUUAUUACAAAUUUGGGAUAGCGAGUGGCGUGGCAUUUUGCUGUCAGAACAGAUAAGAAAGUGGGUCAAUGUUAGUGAAAGAAAGUAGAAGCAAUUAAGGCGUCUUAGCAUUCAAAUUUAGCUGAAACGUAGACUCAAAGGGAAAACCUUGUCACGGCUGACUUUAUUGCCGUUAAGGACGAUCCAGCUAUGACUUCAAACCUUCCUUGUUUUGCCAUUUAUUUCUUUUUUUUUUUUGCAAAAAGAAACUGCCGACCUGUUAUGUAGUAAUAUAAAUCACGGUUCAAGUUCUAUAUUACCCUUUCUUUCUUUUUUUUAUAUCAAAAUUUAAAAUACCACUCAUCCUUAAACUAUUAAUAGAAAAAAUUUAAUCUUUUAUUAUUUAUAAAUUUUAUCAAUUUAGUCCUUAAUUUUUCAAAAUUUAAAAACAAAUUUUAUUUAAAAACUUAUUUUUUUAAUAAAAAUACAUACAAUAUUAUAAAUAAACGAAUAUUCAUUUUUCUAACAUGAACUUUAUUUAUUAAAAUAAUAAUUUUAUAAUAAAAUAAUUUUAUUAAAAAAUUCACUAGACUUAAAUCAAAUUCAAACAUUUCUUCUUCUUCUUCUUUUUAUAUUUUAUUUUAUAAAUAAUAAUUUAUUUAUUAUACAUCUAGCAUUGUUCUUAAGUCCUUGUUAAAUCUGCAGAGAACUAGGAGCUGCCUUCACUCACAACCACCGGCUCCAAGAACCUUUACUUUGAACUCCUCAAUUUCCACAUCCUCCAUCAUCAUGCCAUCAAACAAAGAAUUGGUUGCAGAGCUAUUAGCAUGGCCUUCAACAUACUGAGUCUCUAAUACCUCAUCCUCACCUAUAUAGCCCCAAUCAUGUGCACUCUCAAGCACAACCUCAAACGCAAUAAGCUUAUUUUGGGCAAUAACCUAAAGACAUUAAUUUUUAUCCUUUUUGACCUCAGGCUGUAGCUUUUUUUACUCAAUUUGAACAUGGUUGUUGUUAAUGUUAAGUGGGGGAAGUUGAAUUUGCUAAAAUCUUCUUCAUGAUUUUUUUGCUUAAUUUGUUUUAUUUAUAAAAAUUUUAUUUUAAUAAAUAAAUGUUAUGUUAAAAAAUGAGAAUAAUAUAUGUUGAGACCUUAGUUGUCCAAAAUAUUAAAGCUACAUUCGUGGUUUGAAUAUUUCUUUGAACUAUUUGUUGGAACAUUUUGUUUAUUUGAACAUUUGUUUGGAUAGACUGUUGAGACAACAGUUUGGACAUCUAUUUACGACAAUAUAAGUGCAACAAGUUUCUUGAUAUUUUUUACUCAUUUCAUCUUGUUUAGUUUUCUAUCAACAAAUUAUUCUUAGAUUAAAACAAUUAAUUAUUUUUACUUGGCUGGUAUAUUUUAUUUCGAAUGGAAUGAGUGGUUGAUUGAAUGUAAACAUUAUCAAAAAGCUAUUAAAGAACUAUCGUAUCAACCUAUAAAUAGGUUGCAUUGCCGUUGAUUUGUGUGUGCUUGUGAGAGUGCUUUUGGCUUGUUAUUUGUUUAUCUUUACUUUUUGUGUUAGGCAUUUUAUUAGAGAGUUAAACAUUGUUGUAAGUGAGGUUGCUUGGGGUGAGUGAUUGUAACAAUUGGGUUCAUUGUUAGGGCUGCAAUUAUGAUUGUUGUAAGGGUAAAUUGAACUUUAGUGGAUAAGUGAUAUGGACAAUUGUUGAAUAAAUUCAUUCAUUGAGCGAGGCUUUAUAGUGUAAGAUUGAUGAAUUUAAACUACGCUAACAAAUAUCAUAUGUUGAUUUCUCUCAUUGCCUUACUUUCCUUUUAUAAACUAUUUGUUCCUAUAUAAUAUAUGCUUUUAGUCCUCAUGGCCACAUUGAACAAGUUUGGAAACUUGGUUUAAUCGGCUUCUUCCACAUAGCACAUGUACCGGAGCAUGAGUACUAAUGGCACCAAGUCUUGUUUCUUACAUAGGAUGAGCAGCCUAAGUGCAACACUAUAAGAUAUAACAAGUCACAAACAAAAGGAGGAGAAGGUAGUGUAAAUUCAACUUCGAGAAGGUGUAAAGGAAGACAUGGCCUUACACUACCAUUGUUAGGCUCAGAAACCCCACUCAAAUGAUACAACCUAGUAGCUAGGGUAAGCGUUCAACUGAACUAAAUUGAAUUAAAUGAAAUAAUUUCAAGUUAAUCGAGUUGACGAAUCCUAUUUUAUCAUCUUAACUCAAUUUGAAAAUUUCUUGAAUUGAAUCGAAUAUAUUUGUUCAAGUUAAAUAAAAAAAUGACUUUGGGUCUUUGUAACCAUUGCCACCCACCGUAAUCAAAAUUGUUAUUAAUUUUCAUCCCCUCAUAAUUUAUUUAUUAAUCUUUUAUAUACGUGUUAGCUUUUUUGCUUAAUUAGUUGCUUCAAUUAUCUUCUGAUUCUUGUCACCAUGUAUUUUGAAAUUUAAAAAAAAAUAUUAAAUGAAAAAACGUAAUUUUUUAAUAAAAAUUAUUUUAAAGAUAAAAUGUGAAAUUGAUAUCAACAGAAAAUUUUAACACGAAUAAUUUAUGGCAUCAUCAAUAAUUCAACUGUAACAAAAAUUGAUAAAUAUUCAACAUGGUUAAACAAUUCAAUAAUAUAAAUAGUACAAAAUGUGAAAUUUAAUUCAAUAAUAUAAAUAUUAUACAUAAAUUUGAAAAAAAAAAGUUUUUUGGGGGGCGGGGUUUAGGGAAAUUAAAAGUUUUGGGGAGAAAGUAAAGGAAAAAGGUUUUGAAGAGGAAAUAAAAGUUUUGGGAGGAAAGAAAAAGGGAAAAAGUUUUGGGAGUUUGGGGAAAGUAAAUUUUUUGAAGGGAAAGUAAAAGAGUUUAAGGGGGUUGGGGGGAAGGAAGUAAAAAGGGUUUGAUAUUCGAAUUAUUCGAGUUAUUCGUAUUCGAAAAUUAAACUUAAAAUUCAAGUUGAUUCGAUUAAUUUGAUUCGGUUAGCUCGAAAUUUAAACUUUUUUUUAUUUUUUUAAGUCGAAUAGAAUUUUGAUCACCUCUACCAAUCACGAUGCUGAUAUCAUGUUUAUAAUGUUUAUAGAGUAACUCACGACACGUAAUACCCCGAAAAUUUCUAUAGUAAGAUAUUAUUCUUAAUAUAGAAAAAUAAGGAAAUAAGUGAUAAAAAGGGAAGUUUUGAGUUAUGACAACAUUGGGAAGUAAAUUAUGAUAUCUUGAUUCAGGAAAGGACUAAAUUGUAAAAGUGUGAAAAGUUUUGUUGCACAAGAAUAAAUAUUCAAAACUUGAGGGGUUAAAGUAUAAAUAUGAAAAAAUUUAAAGACCAAUAGUGCAAAUAUUUUAAGGGUGGAAUGAUCUAGGAACCAAGGAAAAUGGAUGAUUAGGACCAAAUUGAAUAGGUGAAGAAUUAUGAGGGACUAAAUUAUAAUUUUACCAAAUUAAAUGAUGGCUCAAGGUUAGAAUUUUAAAAGAUAAUCAAGGGCAAUAUGGUCAACUAGAAGGAGCGAGAAAUCUAGAGACAAUGAUGAUGUUGGAGAUAUUUUAGAUAAAUUAAAUGAAUAAAUAUUAGUUUAUUAAUACUUUAAAUUGAUUUUUAAAUAACAUUUUAUUAUUUUAUUAUUAUUUUAUUUAAUAUAUAUAUGUAAGGAAAGAAAGAGGAAGAUGAUCACCUUUCUCAUGCAACUAACGUGAGAAGAAGAAAAAGAAAAGAAGAAGUUUUCCUUUCCUUAUAAUUUGGUCCUUCCACUAAAAAUUCACCAUUUUCACCUAGAAAUCAAAAGAAUUUCUAUAGCCAUCAAGAGAGAAAGAUAACAAGGAGACUAUGGGGAGCUAGAAUAUCAAGUUGAAUUCAAGAAAUAGAAGCUGGAGGAGAGACAAAAAUCAAGUUAAAGGUUGAAAUCAAUAAGAAAAGGUAAGAACAUCAAGAUUUCAAUAUAUUUUUAAGUUUGAUAUUAUUAAAAAGCAUGGAAUUGAUGUUAAUGUAGAGUUUUCUUAUAUAUGGACCUAUGUUCUUGACAUGUUAGUGAAGAGAAAAUAAGAGAAAGUGAUGAGAAAUAGUGUAGAGAAAGAAAAUAAGGGUGUUAUAAACAUGGUAAAUAAACAUCUUGCACUAAAAUAAUUUUGGACAGCAACAGUAGACUAAAUUUGAAAAAUCACCAUAAAUUGUCAAAAUCAAAUUAGAGAAUUAAAAAAAUAUGAAAUUAAAACUUAUUGAGUCUAGUUUCUUAUAGAAGAAACGGUGUAAGAAAUGAAAUUGUGAAUUAUGAGUUAUAAUAAAUUUUGUGAGACAAGGUCAGAAUGAUUUCGGGUUCCCCUAUUCUGAUUUAGAAAAUCAUAAAAAAUUGGAGAAAAAUAAUUAAGGGCUUAAAUUUAUAUUUUUAAAAUCCUUAAUGAGUCUAUUUUCAAUAUAAAUAAGCUGGAACAUCAUCCGAAUAUCGUACGAGGAGAUAAUUAAUUCUUAGCGAAGAAGGGUCAGAACUGUCAGACAACAGAAUAGGGGUAACUUUAAAGAAUAAACUGUACUUAUUGGCUAAACAAAAAUUCUAAAAAAUUUAUGGUAAGAAGAUAUGUGAGACUAGUUUCAGGGAAUAUUAACGGAUCUUAAUUUGGAGUUCUGUAUCUUAAGGUAAAAAUAAUUUAGUGACUAUGACACGAAUAGAUAACUUUGAAUAUAUAUAUAAGUAAAUAGUGAAAUUAUAGAUAAUGUUACUUAUAAGCAUGUUAUAUACAUUAAGGAUGUGGAAUGGAGAGGAGGAGGAGGAAAAUAUAUAUAUGAAUAUUAAUUUGCAUGUUUUAGACUCAGAGACUAAAUUGAAUAAAAGAAAAAUUGUAGGGGCAAUUUUGUAAAAGCUCAAGCUGUUGUAUGUUACCCGGAUGAAAUAUAGCAGCUACAAAUGUACCGUAAGUUGUCUGGAUGAAGUACUUUUUUUUAACAAGCGACCUGUAUAUGAUUUGACAGAAAACUUUAAAAAAAUCAAAAAAUGACCAAAUUGAAGGAAAUGAAUUGUUUUAUUAAUUAAAUUAAUAAAUUGAAUGAAAUUAUUAAUUUGGAUCAAGAUUGGGUGAAAAUUCGAGAAAAUGAAAAAUUUUCCAAAAUGCUCCUGAAUCUUGAUAUCUCUGCAAUUUAGCCAGGUAAGUUCGUGUAACUUGAAUUAUAUUCUUAAAUGCUUGAAACGUAUGUUAUUGAUGUGAAUAUGAUUUAAAUAUUCUUGGUAUGAAAAUUGUUGAACCAUUGACAUAUUUGAUAAAAGGGGAAGAAAUCCGGGUUGAAUGAAAGAAAAAUUCGAUGGAUCUGUAAAAAAGGAAUUGACGGUAAAAAGGAUCUAGCCCGGACGGGUGAUCCUAUCCUAAUAUAGCCCUCCCGAAGAAUAUGUGUAAAAUGGAUUUAGCCCGGACGGGUAAUCUGAAUUAGGGUCUGAAUUUAGCAUGGACUGGUAAUUCAGAUCCAAGCUUAUUAGAGUAAUUGUCGUUGCAGGAGAUUUAGCCUAGACUGGUAAUUCCGACAAUACUCUAUGAGUUUAUUUACAGGGGAUUUUGCUUGGACUGGUAAUCCCGCUGUAAGGAUGAGGUUCGCGGGAGUAUACUUUCCGAAAUGAAAUGUGUAAGACCAUGGUUGAAAAAUACCAUGGCAACAUGAUAUGAAAUGUGUAAGACCAUGGUUGAAAGAUACCAUGACAACAUGACAUGAAAUGAAUAAGACCAUGGUUGAAAGAUACCAUGGCAACAUUACAGAAAAUGAGUAAGACCAUAGUUGAAAGACACUAUGGCAUCAUGUCGAAGAUAAAUAAGAUCGUGGAUGAGAGAUGCCGAGACAUCUGUUGAACAACUAAUAUUCAGGUAAUAUGUACCAGAUGACGAAUGGUUAUAUGAAUUGGUUAUACAAAAUGGUUGUGUGAAAUGUUUACAAGAAUUGGUCAUAUGGAAAUAUAUGUCCAAAAUAGUUGUAUGAAAUAAUUAAGAAGAUAGAUAAAUGAAAUAAGUAUAGGUACAUGGAAUUUAAUUUAUGUUAAGUUUAACAUGAACAAUUACCAAAAUAAAUAUACAUAAGAUAUAUAGAAAUGAUGGUGCAUGAAAUAUUGAUAUAACGAAAUAAAUGAUAUAUUGUUAUGAAGAAACGAUAAGAGAAUAAUAUGUUUCGUGACAUAUACAUAUAUGAUUAUCUUUGAUAUGUUGAUACAAGGAAAUUAUGUAAAUUGAGACUAUUAUUAAACUCAAGUGUGUAUGUCGAGAAAAUAGGUAUAUCAAUGUUGAAAUUAUAUGAAAUAUGUACAAGUAUACUAACAAUGUUGUUGUUUGAUACUUAGAUAAGUGCCAAGCUAUUGAUUGAACGGUAAUAUGUUUAUUUAUAUGAUGUAUUGAAUCAAUAAGUAUUCAAUUGAAAUUUUUAUUAAAUGAUAUGUAAAUCCUGAUAAUGCCCCGAAACUCUGUUCCGGCAAUAGAUACAGGAUAGGGGUGUUACACGACAUCUUAAUAACAUCCACAUCUCCAUGUCUAUUAUAGAGGAGGGAUAAGAAAGACCACCUACUGGUUCAUAUUUUUUCGUUAAACCCUUCUGAAUUACUCUCCAUUCUCUAACCAUCCUUUACGGUUGAGCCCUAGUAUUUUUUGUACCUUUUCUAGCCAUUGUUUACAACAAUUGCAUUGAAAAUGUUAAGAAUAGGGAUGAAUAAUGCUGAUACGACAUAAAGAAACUUGAAUGAAGUGAAUUAAAUUGAGAAACACAAGGAGAAUCAAGGAAAAAAGCCCAAAAACCAAAGAUAUUGUAACACCCCUACCCAUAUCUGAUGAGUCGUUGAGAGCACCAAAAACAUCCUAUUCCCUGUAAAAUAGUAAAAAAUAAUAGUAAAGGGGAAGUAGGGUCGAAUCCUCAGGGAUCGGAUUGUACGAAUGCUCGUUCUUGAAAUCCUGGACAAUUUCUUGGCCAAGAAAACUUGCGUUCCUAAAAAAUAAAAAAUAAAAUUAAAAAUCUGGAAAAAUAAAAACAGAAUUUAAAGUGAAUUGAAUUUUCGAAAUUAAAUAAAUUGCAGAAAUUGAAAUGAGGAAAAAUAAAUAGAGUUGAGAAAAGAGAAAGUUUCUUAUGUGGCAAGAUUCCAGCCUCCGUUUAUCGAUCCGCCUUGGGUUCAAUCCUUGGUUUUUAAGUAACCCUUCUCAACUCAAGUAAGCCAGUUAUAGUGGAAGAGGACGCCUACGACCACCAGCUCCAAAGAUUAGACUUACGAUUUUUAGGGAACCUGACUCUAGCCAGUAAUUUAUGCUAGAUCAACGCUUCUCAAUGGCGAAUCCCAUGCCAUUUUGUCUCUUUGGCUCGCCAACCUUUGACGCAGUAAGUUAACGAACCGACUGUGCAAUCCUUCCAAAACAUACAAAGCGGCCGCCUUUGCAUAUGCUGAAAAGCUUAUUUCUUAAGGACCAUGGACGGAAGCGUCAGCCCGUAGUGCGGAGAAACGAUGAAUACUUGGCGAGAAGGCUAAAUACGGAUUCUAGGCCUCAAGAACCCUUUUUGGGGAAUAUUGACAACCUUCGGCUGGAUGGGUUUUAGUGGCUCAUGAUAAUGGUGGAAAAGAAAAUAAAUAUAAAAAUGAAAAAGGAAAUUUUAUUGAAAGAAAAUAUGAAGAAACAAAAGCCUAGACUUUCAGGGGGAGAGUGUUUACAGAAAAAGAUGAACACCUCCAAAUAGAGCCACUUCACCCCCUAUUUAUAGUGCUAGGGAGAUAGUCUAAUUUAACUUAAAUUCUAAAAAGAUAAUUAAAGAUAAUUAAAAUUAAAUCCUAAAAUUAAAUAAUAUUAAUAAUUAUAUUAAUACUAAUUAUCCUAAUAUAAAUAAAAUGGAGUCUUAUAAAAUAAAAUCUCUUGUUUUUGCGUUUUUAGUCCUUGUGUCUUCCAUGCUCGCACUUUUGUCCCUUAAUUUUGCUUUUGCCUCCAAAUCAGUCCCUAAUCGAUAAAAAGACAUAAAUAGCUCAAAUUAGUAGGAUCAAGCCCAGAAUAAACACAUGAUUAAUACAUAAAAAUACGUUAUUCUAGAGCAUUAUCAGUAUCCGUCGCCGGAAUAGAGUACGAGGCAUUAUCGAGGAGUACGAAACACUUACAGAUAAUUUAAAUAUAUUUUCAUAACAACUAGUCUCGGUUUCAUACUGUUUCAUAUUUAAGCUUUACUUACCAAAGUAUUUGAAAUAUCAUCUUUAUGCAAAUAGCACACAUAAGGUACAUAAUUCCAUAAUUAUAAAUGAACACAUUUGUCAAACAUAUUCCAUAUUCAUACAUCGUUGCUCAGUGCCACGAUUCACAACUCAGUAUGGUUUUCCUUAUUGAAAUACCAUACCUAUAUUUCACAACUCGGUAUGGGAAAUGCCAUAUCUACGUUCUUGACUCAGUAUAUAUAAUACCAUACCUACAUUUCACAACUCGGUAUGGAUGAUACCAUACCUACAUUUCACAACUCGGUAUGGAUGAUACCAUACCUACAUUUCACAACUCGGUAUGGUUAAUACCAUACCUACAUUUCACAACUCAGUAUGGAUGAUACCAUACCUACGUUUCACACUUUUACAUGGAUCAACCAUUGUCUUUUCCGUCCAUUCAUCUUGUCACUGAACUGAAGUGUUCAAUUUGAUCAUUUAUUCAAUUUUCAUGCUUUUACAUUAUAAACGAUUUUAUCAUCAAUGCAUAUGAAAUAACACAUCAUGAAAUUCAUAAAAUUAACAAAUGGUCACUAAAAUUUAGUUAUACAAACUCACAAGUUUGAUUUUUGUAUUAUAACGAUAAUUAUAAUUUCAUAAAAAAUAUUCCAAAUAAAACAUUAUAUCAUUUCUAAUUCAACAUUUAUUGAUUAUAAUCGGGCAUGUGAUUAAUUUAUACACAAGUCAUUCACAUAUAUAUAUUAUUUUUUAUUUUUCCUCCUCCUCCUCUCCAUCCACAUCCUUGAUAUAAAUAACACACUUGUUGUAACGACCCGAAUUUUACCGUUACCGAAAAAGUGUAUUUUCGGGUCUUCGUUUCUGAAAAAUGGAUUCGUAAAGUAAAAUGAGUAGUUAAUUAGAGUUUAAUUAAAUGAAUUUAAUUUAAUUAAGAGUAAUUAAGUAAAAGGACCAAAUUCAAUAAGGGGUAAAAGUUGAAUUAUAGAUUAAAAGAAAAUAAAAAGGACUAAAAGGGAAAUUAUACAAAAAGUAUAAAUUGAGGCGGUUUAUCGUGAAAAAAAUCUAAGAUUUUUUUUUAUGUUUAGUAUAUUAUUAUAUUAUUAUAUAAUAAAGAUACUUUAUGUUUUAAUUAUAUUAUAUUAUAUUAUAUUAUAUUAUAUUAUAUAUAUAUAAACUAAAGAAUCAAAUGAAAGGAAAUAGAAACAGAAUGGAACGAAACAGAGAGCAGGGGAGAAAAAGAAAGAAAGAAGGGGAGAAAAGGGAAAAUUGAAGGUUUGAAGCUUUAAGCUUUAAUAGGUAAGUCAAUCAAGCCCUUUUUACUUAAUUUUGAUGUUUUAGAAGUUUUAGAACAAAGUUUUGAUGAAAUUAAGUUGAUAUUUUGAUAGUUAUUAGAUUUCUAGAUAUUGUCCAUGUUAAAUAAAAUGAUGAAUUAAGGGCUAAAUUGAUAGAAAUUCAAGUUAAAAAUGAUACAAGGAUUGAAUUGUAAAGUGAUUCAUAAGUUUUAUGCUUUAAGGACUAAAUUGAAAGAAUUUCGAAAUUAUGGUUUUAUGAUGAAAAAUAGAUAAUUAUGUCUAAGUUUGGUUUAAAAUUGAGUAGAAAUAAAGUACGAAUUAAGAUAGAAAAGUAAGUUAAUUUAGUUAGAAUUAAAUUGAAAUUAAAGUAAAUCAACAUUUUGUACUAAGACUAUUUUGGACAGCAGCAGUAGUCUAAGUUUGAAAAAUCACCAAAAAUUGUAGAAAUUGAAUUAGAGGAUGAAUAAAAUAUGGAAUUAAAGAUUGUUGAGUCUAGUUUCUUAUAGAAGAAACGAUGUAGCAAUUGAAUUGUAAAUUAUGAUAUAUAAUGAAUUUUGUUAGACAAGGUCAGAAUGAAUUCGGGUUCCCCUGUUCUGACUUUGGAAAAUCACCAAAAAUUGAAGAAAAAUAAUUAGAGGCUUAAAUUUAUAUGUUUAGAAUCCCUAAUCAGUCUAUUUAUAGGAGAAAUCAACGGGAAUGUUAUCCGAGUUCUGUACUGUGAGAUAAUUAAUUUUUAGUGAAGAAGGGACGAAACUGUUAGAGAGCAGAAUAGGGGUGAAUUUAAAGAAUAAACUGUACUUAAUGGCUAAACCAAAAAUUCUAAAAAUUUUAUUGUAAGAAGAUUUGUGAGUCUAGUUUCAGGAAAAAUUAGCGGAUCUUAAUUUAGAAUUCUGUAACUCAAGAUAUGAAUUAGCAAUGUAUUAAUGAUUAUGAAUUGUAUUAAUUUUGUAGUCAAUGUGGUACCGGAAAUCUCGGCUAAGAAAGGACAAGACAAAGUCAACGGGAGUUAGCUCGAAAAUUACGGUUUGUAUUUCUAUAAUCCAAACUUAGUUAUUAUUUGUUAUAUUUAUAUACAUAUGGCAAUUGUUAGUGUUAGAAUUAUGAUGUUUUACAAUUGGAAUGGAUUGAUUUUGGUAUGCGAUGAAUUUAUUGAAUUUAUAUUGAUUGAAAUUAUUUUGAUUGAAUUUAUAUUGAUUGAAUUAUAUAAUAUACAUGAUUUAUGUAGAAAUUUGAAUAUUGAAUGAAUGUUAUAUUGAAAAAUAUAUUGAUUGGAAAUAUGAGGAAAUUGAUAUGAAUAUAUGAGAUUAUGAUAUUUGAAUAUUUGAUAUUGAAAAGUAAAUUGAAUUGUAUUGAAUUAUGAAUUAAUGUGAAUAAUUGAAAUAUAUUGUUGAAUUGAAUGAAAUUGUAUGAAUUGUGAAAAUGGGUGAAUAUAUGUGAUUAUUAGAAUGGUAUAUUGAUGAAAGAAUUAUUAAAUUGAGAAAGUGAAUGAAAUACCCUACUAACUAGUCGGGCUGAGUCGGAUAUAAUUGGCAUGCCAUAGGAUCUGGAAGUGUACGGGAUUUGCCGGCUUUAUCGAUCAGGCACUUUAUGUGUCGUAUUUCAGGCACCUUGUGUGUCGUUUUAGGCACUUUAUGUGUCGUAUACUGAUCAGGUACUAUGUACCGUUUUAGGCACAAUGUGUCGUACUGGUGUGUUUGGGUUGGAAUCCGUGUAUCCGUCAAAGUCUGGGUUUGUUAAUAGGGGUAAAUAAGUGAAAGAUAAAUCGAAUAAAUUUGAUUGAUCAAGCUAUUGAAAUGAAAUGAGAAAUUGAAUUGAGAAUUGAAAAUUUAGAUAUGAAAUUGAAAAUAUGAACCAAAGGUUCAUGAAAUGAUUGGAGUUCGAAUUGAUGAUAUAUGAUGCCACUUGAUGAAUUGAAAUGUGAUUUGAGAUAUAUGAAUCGUAUGUAUAUACUGAAAGCUAUCAGGGAUAGUAAGUUGAUAUGAUAUAAAUGAAAUUGACUGUUAUUGAAAUGAAUUAAAAUGGAAUAUGAUUGAUAAGUGUAUAGUUGAAUAUAGUUUAAUGAUAUUGAAUUGUGAGUAAAUUAAGGAAAGCUAUACCGAGUAGUAAGUGAAAGAAUGGAGUAAAUAAUAAUAGAUUUAGUGAAGAAUUGAACAAUUAUGUUAUUGUGUUUAUUAUAUGAUUUGUAUAAAAUUUAUAUGGUAAGUAGUUGAAAUUUAUCUAUGAAUUAAUAAUUGAAUAAUUUUAAUUGUUAUUAUGAUCUUAAGUAUUUGUUAUAUUAUUAAUUGCUCGGAUUAUAGAAAUACCACUGAGUAUGCCAUACUCAGCGUACGGUUUGUUUCCGUGCGCAAGUUAAGUAAAGAUAGUACGUUGAAUUAGCAUCCCAAGACGAUCCCGAAUUCAUUAAGGUAAAGUAUGUUGAGUAUUGAUAAUAGCAUGUACCCAGGAUGUUUAAUGAGAGUCAUUUAGGUUAUAGAAGUAUUGAUGAAAUGAGUAAAUUACGGUUGGCAACGGUAUGUAGUAUGAAUUUUGAAAUUUACUAAAAAUUCGUAGUGAUUCUAAAUUAGUCCCGAAUUGAAUUUACUGUUCAUAUUGGACCGCAAGGGCCUAUUAAAGGGACAACAUCUUAAAACUAGGAUGUGUGUGAAUAUUUAUUUUAAUUAAUGACCGGAAUUGGACUGUACUGACUGGUAAUGUCUCAUAACCCUGUUCCGGUGACGGUAUAGGGUUAGGGGACGUUACACUUGUAAGUAAGCUUAUCCAUAAUUUUCACUAAUUACUUAUGUGAAAAUUCAAGCUAUCCACCCGUGUCAUAGUCACUAAAUUAUUUAUAUAUGGAGCUACGAAACUCCAAAUUAAUAUUUGCUAAUUUUCCCUGAAACUAGACUCACAAAUAUUCUUACUAUAAAAUUUUCAGAAUUUUUAGUUUAACCAAUAAGUACAAUUUAUUCUUUAAAGUCACCCAUGUUCUGCUGUCUGAUAGUUUCGACCCUUCUUCAUUAAAAAUUAAUUAUCUACUCUUACAGGAUUCUAAUGAUGUUCCCAUUUAUUUCUAUUGAAAAUAGACUCAUUCAGGAUUCUAUACAUAUAAAUUUAAGCCUCUAAUUAUUUUUCUUCAGUUUUUUAUAAUUUUUCAAAGUCAGAAUAGGGGAACCCGAAUUCAUUUUGACCUUGUCUCACAAAAUUCAUUAUAUCUCAUGAUUUACAAAUUCAUUACUUACACCGUUUCUUCUAUGAGAAACUAGACUCAAUAAGCUUUAAUUUAAUAUUUUUUCAUUUUCUAAUUCGAUUUAUAAAAUUUAUGGUGAUUUUUCAAAGUUAGUCUACUGCUGCUGUCUAAAAUUGUUUUAGUGCAAGCUGUUUAUUACCAUUUUUCCCCUAAGCUUUUAAUAAAUAACAAUUUCGUCCCUACUCAAUUAGCCUCUCAGUUGAGCUGAUUUUUCUCAAUCAACACUUUAUUCUAUCACUUUAAAGUACUUUACAACCUUUGGAAAUCAUAAUUUCAGCACUAGACUUUAAUUCCAAACAUUUUCACAAUUAGGUCAUAAAAUCAAUUUCCAUAAAUUUUACUUGAUAAAAUUAUCAUAUAUCUAAAUUAAAACUUCAAUUCUAUGUUUAUUCAUCAUAUUAUUCCAGAACUCAUCCAUAAAAACUUUAAAAAUUAACCAUGAAAUCAAAAACUAAUUAAAUAGUAAGUUGGACCUAAUUGUAAAAGUCCAAAAACAUAGAAAUUUCUAGAAGAAAGCAAGAAUUAAACUUACAUGUAGCUAGAGAAUGAAAACCAGCUUGAACCCUCUUUCAUGGCUGUUUUUCAGCUGAUGAAAAUAAAGAAAAAUGAAGAGAAUUCUAGAUAUUCCAAUUUGGUCUCAUUUUUAUUUAGCUAAUUUUGACAAUUUUCCAAUUUUGCCCUUAUUUCACCCCUUUUCCUAAUUUUUCUCAGCUAUUGCCGCCCAAAAUAUCUCCUUUGGGCUUAUUUGCACUUUAGGUUCUUCCUUAUUUGACAAUUGAGCUAUUUAAUCUUUUUUGCAACUUUUACACCUUUUUCAAUUUAGUCCUUUUUAUUUAAUUAACCACCCAAACGUCAAAAUUUUGUGACGAAAUUUUAAUACUACCUCACUAACACUCCAUAAAUAUUUCUAAAAAUAUUUAUGGCUCGAUUUAUGAAGUUGAGGUCUCGAUACCUCAUUCUCAACCCAAUUUACCUAAUUAAUUCUUUUAAAUCACUUGCUUCACUAAUUCAAAAACACUCCUAUAUUCACACUUGCCUCGUAGAUAUUAAUUUAUUAAAUUUUUGACUCAUUCGUCAGAUUCAGUGAUCUCAAAUCACUGUUCUGAUACCACUAAAAAUUAGGCUGUUACAGAUAUUGCCGAUGAAAAUAAUUAUACAAAAGCGAGAUUGUAGAAAGAAACUUUAAGAAUUUCAAGCAGCAAAAUUGUGUUUCAAACAAAGAGACAAAAUAUAUAUAGUGACUCCUUCAGAAUUGCCUUAUUUCACUUCAUAACUUUGCGGCCAAUAAUAACUCAACAUUUAUCGUCCCCAACCAGUUGUUGAUCAUUGUUUCAAUCCCCAAACAUAGUUAGUUCUAAUUAGCAUUGAUGAGGAGUAUUCAAUAAGUCUUAUGGUGAUCCUUCAGCUUCAAAUGAUGUACUAUCCAUAUUUACUAUGUUGGCAUACCUCUGGUUAUUCCACACUAUUGUACAACUUUUGGACAAUAAUGUCUCAAAGCAAGCCACUUUAUAACCUAUUUUUCGACUAAAAAGGGGACAAUUGUUACACUUACCACCCGAGCUUAACAUGUGGCAAAUCUAGAAAACCUUAUGUGGGCAACAGAAAGGAACCUACACCUCUCCAUUC
RNAcentral lists this long non-coding RNA (40110 nucleotides) under Gossypium barbadense (sea-island cotton). RNAcentral describes it as "long non-coding RNA (GBAR_LNC007678)". Lineage: Eukaryota; Viridiplantae; Streptophyta; Magnoliopsida; Malvales; Malvaceae. The record is from RNAcentral.